GAUGAACGCUGGCGGCGUGCUUAACACAUGCAAGUCGAACGAAGCACUUUAUUUGAUUUCCUUCGGGACUGAUUAUUUUGUGACUGAGUGGCGGACGGGUGAGUAACGCGUGGGUAACCUGCCUUGUACAGGGGGAUAACAGUUGGAAACGGCUGCUAAUACCGCAUAAGCGCACAGCAUCGCAUGAUGCAGUGUGAAAAACUCCGGUGGUAUAAGAUGGGCCCGCGUUGGAUUAGCUAGUUGGUGAGGUAACGGCCCACCAAGGCGACGAUCCAUAGCCGACCUGAGAGGGUGACCGGCCACAUUGGGACUGAGACACGGCCCAAACUCCUACGGGAGGCAGCAGUGGGGAAUAUUGCACAAUGGGCGAAGGCCUGAUGCAGCGACGCCGCGUGAGCGAAGAAGUAUUUCGGUAUGUAAAGCUCUAUCAGCAGGGAAGAUAAUGACGGUACCUGACUAAGAAGCACCGGCUAAAUACGUG
This 481-nucleotide ribosomal RNA is filed under the name uncultured bacterium. RNAcentral describes it as "partial 16S ribosomal RNA". It matches the Rfam family "Bacterial small subunit ribosomal RNA", at positions 28 to 507 of the family's 1533-position model. The record is from RNAcentral.